GUGGUUUGUCCUAAUGUGACUGCUGAUCAAAGCUGUGCUGUAGUCCUGGACGCCACACAGAGUGAUGCUGGUUCCUACCGACAGGGCCUGUCGAGUGCAUGGGUUCUCUGUGCGAUGGUUCCACACAUU
Misgurnus anguillicaudatus (oriental weatherfish) is the source of this 129-nucleotide non-coding RNA. The record is from RefSeq and is a predicted model, not a curated record. Lineage: Eukaryota; Metazoa; Chordata; Actinopteri; Cypriniformes; Cobitidae.